RNAcentral lists this ribosomal RNA (666 nucleotides) under Triticum aestivum (bread wheat). RNAcentral describes it as "partial small subunit ribosomal RNA". Lineage: Eukaryota; Viridiplantae; Streptophyta; Magnoliopsida; Poales; Poaceae. The record is from RNAcentral.
AUGGACGUCGCCGACGCUGCCUCCAAGUCCGGCCACCAGGAGCAGGGUCACAGGACGGUGUCAUCGGAGCCGCCGAAGCGGCCGGCGGGGCGGACCAAGUUCCGUGAGACACGACACCCGCUGUACCGCGGCGUGCGGCGCCGUGGCCGGGUCGGGCAGUGGGUGUGCGAGGUGCGCGUGCCAGGAGUGAAGGGCUCCAGGCUCUGGCUCGGCACCUUCACCACCGCCGAGAUGGCGGCGCGCGCGCACGACGCCGCGGUGCUCGCGCUCUCCGGCCGCGCCGCCUGCCUCAACUUCGCCGACUCCGCAUGGCGGAUGCUGCCCGUGCUCGCGGCCGGGUCGUUCGGCUUCGGCAGCGCGCGGGAGAUCAAGCUUGCCGUCAGCCGUCGCCGUCGUCGCGUUCCAGCUGCAGCAGAAUAUUCCUCCAGCCGCGUGUCCAACGGUGGAGCCGACCGACAGCCCGAGCAACUCUCUGUUCUACAUGUCGUCCGGCGACCUGCUGGAGCUCGACGAGGAGCACUGGUUUGGCGGCAUGGAUGCCGGGUCGUACUACGACAGCUUGGCGCAGGGGAUGCUCGUGGAGCCGCCGGACGACAGAGCGAGGCGGGAGGACGCCGAGCAGACGGGCGUCGAGACACCGACGCCGCUAUGGAGCUAUUUGUUUGA